GUUCUUGAUUCCUGGAGGGCUUGCUAAAACACGGACUGCUCCUGGCCUCAGGCGAUGGAUCCUUCAGCCCCAACCUUCCACAGCGCUGGAUUACGGAUGAACAAGCAGAGGCAUGGAGAAGCAGAGUCAUGUGCCCCAGGUCACACAGCCAGGAAAUGGAACAAGCUGGCCACAGGUGUUGGGAGGAACAUGUUGACAAGCUGCCCAGGAUGCCCUGGAGGCCCCUUUGGGGAUCCCCAGAGGUGGAGUCUGACUGUGCUGCUUAGCCUGGUCUCCAACUCCUGGGCUCAAGUGAUCCUCCUGCCUUGGCCUCCCAGAGAGCAGGGAUUACAGGCAUGAGCUACUGCACCUGGCUUUUUUUUUUUUUUAUGUUUUAUAAAUGCAUAAAAUAAAAUGCAUGAUAUUACAAAGGAAACCAAUUAUACUGAAAUGCUGUUACUGCAAUAUCAACAAGCGUUUGUGAUGCAGUGAUGAGGUAAACUUCUUUAUUAGUACGUUAAAAAACAAGAUGGGGAAGCAGGUUGCAGGUCACCAUGAGUGUAAACAAUAUGUAAUGUUACCUGCAACCACUGUGAUAUGAAAUGAAAGUACCUUUGACUUCUGUUGUAACAGUCACUGCUAACCCUACCAU
Long non-coding RNA from Papio anubis (olive baboon), 631 nucleotides. NCBI's taxonomy places the organism in Eukaryota, Metazoa, Chordata, Mammalia, Primates, Cercopithecidae. The record is from Ensembl.